Molecule: ribosomal RNA, 2218 nt
Filed under: Caenorhabditis nigoni
Lineage: Eukaryota; Metazoa; Nematoda; Chromadorea; Rhabditida; Rhabditidae
Description: eukaryotic LSU rRNA
Rfam family: Eukaryotic large subunit ribosomal RNA
Source: RNAcentral
AGGCCAUAGACCAGAGAGGGUGCGAGUCCCGUCCUGGAUUGCGAUGCUGUUGGUUCGAUUGCUCCUUGGAGUCGGGUUGCUUGAAAGUGCAGCCUAAAGUGGGUGAUAAACUUCAUCUAAGGCUAAAUAUUGACUCGAUUGCGAUAGCGAACAAGUACCGUGAGGGAAAGUUGCAAAGGACUUUGAAGAGAGAGUUCAAGAGAACGUGAAAUCGCUGGAGUGGAACCGGAGACAGUUGAUGUUGCUUGGAGACAAGUUUGGUGGCUGGUCGCUUAGUUGUGAUCGUCGCCGGAUGUCGUUUCCUAUGCUACGCCGACGGCGUUGGUCGCUCGUUCUGGCCCGACAGUGUUGCCCAGCUCGCAAGAGUCGGUGUCUUGUUGUCGGUCGUUGGUUCGUGGUGGCUAGCGUUUAGUUACGCUAGUGUGUGUGACGUCGGUGUGAAAGUCGACGACGUUUCCGACCCGUCUUGAAACACGGAUUGCGGAGUGCUUGUCUACUGCGAGUCAAAGGGUGUUAAAACCUUGCGGCGAAAUGAAAGUGAAGGUCAGUCUUGAAUUGGCCGACGUGGGAUCGGUGCUCCUCGGAGUGCUGCGCACCACGGCCCUGUGCGUGUCACUUGUGACUGUGCAGAGGUUGAGCAGUUGGCAAACGACCCGAAAGAUGGUGAACUAUGCCUGAGCAGGAUGAAGCCAGAGGAAACUCUGGUGGAAGUCCGUAUCGGUUCUGACGUGCAAAUCGAUCGAUAGACUUGGGUAUAGGGGCGAAAGACUAAUCGAACCAUCUAGUAGCUGGUUCCUUCCGAAGUUUCCCUCAGGAUAGCUGGAUCUCCGGCAGUUAUAUUCGGUAAAGCUAAUGAUUAGAGGCCUUGGGGACGUAAUGUCCUCAACCUAUUCUCAAACUUUCAAUGGAUAUGAAGUUGCAGUUUCUUUAGUGAACUGUCAACGUGAAUGCGAGGUCCAAGUGGGCCAUUUUUGGUAAGCAGAACUGGCGCUGUGGGAUGAACCAAACGUGGAGUUAAGGUGCCUAACUUCUCGCUCAUGAGACCCCAUAAAAGGUGUUGGUUGAUAUUGACAGCAGGACGGUGGCCAUGGAAGUCGGUAUCCGCUAAGGAGUGUGUAACAACUCACCUGCCGAAUCAACUAGCCCUGAAAAUGGAUGGCGCUUAAGCGAGAGACCUAUACUCCGCCGUUGCGGCAUGUGCGUUGUCUAGCGCCAGGCCGUAACGAGUAGGAAGGUCGUGGCGGUUGCUUUGAAGGCUAUGAGCGUGGGCUCGGCUGGAGCUUCCGUCAGUGCAGAUCGUAAUGGUAGUAGCAAAUAUUCAAGUUCGAUCCUUGAAGACUGAAGUGGAGAAGGGUUCCACGUGAACAGUAGUUGGAUGUGGGUCAGUCGAUCCUAAGGUACUGGCGAACGCCUUGUAUCAUCGGUGGCGAAAAGCUUGCUUUUGGUCCCCGUUUGUCGAAAGGGAAUAGGGUUAAUAUUCCCUAACUGAGAUGCAAAGAUUGUGUUCUUCGGAGCACAAGCGCGGUAACGCAUUCGAACUUGGUUAGUCGCUCAAAGACCGAGCUAGAGUUUUCUUCUCUAGUUAAGGAACGGACUCCCUGGAAUUGGUUCAGCCAGAGAUGGGGACGUUGUUUCCGAAAAGCACCGCGGUUUCUGUGGUGUCUCGUGCUCUUUGAACGGCCCUUAAAACACCAAGGGAGGCUAUUAAUUUGCACUCAAUCGUACCGAUAUCCGCAUUAGGUCUCCAAGGUGAACAGCCUCUAGUCGAUAGAAUAAUGUAGGUAAGGGAAGUCGGCAAACUAGAUCCGUAACUUCGGGAAAAGGAUUGGCUCCAGUGGUUGGAACGAUUGGCCAGUUGGUUGAUGCUUGUCCGGCGCUAUUCUGUCUGCUUGAUGCUUUCGGGCUGAUGGCGGACUAGUGAUAGUGCUUGCUUGUGGACGCUUUCUGGUGUGUGCUAGGACCUCGGUUCUAGUAUCCUGAUCGCUCAUCUAAACAACCGUACUGGAACCGGUACGGACUCAGGGAAUCCGACUGUCUAAUUAAAACAGAGGUGACAGAUGGUCCUUGCGGACGCUGACUGUCACUGAUUUCUGCCCAGUGCUCUGAAUGUUAAAUCGUAGUAAUUCGAGUAAGCGCGGGUAAACGGCGGGAGGAACUAUGACUCUCUUAAGGUAGCCAAAUGCCUCGUCAUUUAAUUGUUGACGCGCAUGAAUGGAUU